Molecule: transfer RNA, 71 nt
Filed under: Marmota monax (woodchuck)
Lineage: Eukaryota; Metazoa; Chordata; Mammalia; Rodentia; Sciuridae
Description: tRNA.Thr
Rfam family: tRNA (bases 6-66)
About the family: Transfer RNA (tRNA) molecules are approximately 80 nucleotides in length. Their secondary structure includes four short double-helical elements and three loops (D, anti-codon, and T loops).
Source: RNAcentral
GGGGUUGUGGCUCAGCGGUAGAGCACUUGCCUGGUAUGUAUGAUGCUCUGGGUUCAAUCCUCAGCACUGCA